GCCGCUGUAGCCCAGGCGGUAGAAGCGUCGCCAGUACAGAUGGCGCUGGUUCAAAUCCAGCCAGCGGUG
Non-coding RNA from Phthorimaea operculella (potato tuberworm), 69 nucleotides. The record is from the annotation of a GenBank genome assembly. NCBI's taxonomy places the organism in Eukaryota, Metazoa, Arthropoda, Insecta, Lepidoptera, Gelechiidae.